UACGUAGGGUGCAAGCGUUAAUCGGAAUUACUGGGCGUAAAGCGUGCGCAGGCGGCUGAUGUAAGACAGGUGUGAAAUCCCCGGGCUUAACCUGGGAACUGCAUUUGUGACUGCAUCGCUGGAGUGCGGCAGAGGGGGAUGGAAUUCCGCGUGUAGCAGUGAAAUGCGUAGAUAUGCGGAGGAACACCGGUGGCGAAGGCAAUCCCCUCGGGCCUGCACUCGACGCUCAUGCACGAAAGCGUGGGAGCAAACAGG
RNAcentral lists this ribosomal RNA (255 nucleotides) under uncultured bacterium. Its description in RNAcentral is "partial 16S ribosomal RNA". It matches the Rfam family "Bacterial small subunit ribosomal RNA", at positions 524 to 776 of the family's 1533-position model. The record is from RNAcentral.